RNAcentral lists this long non-coding RNA (1448 nucleotides) under Mus musculus (house mouse). RNAcentral's name for it is "long non-coding RNA chr7:97455265-97456713". Lineage: Eukaryota; Metazoa; Chordata; Mammalia; Rodentia; Muridae. The record is from RNAcentral.
GAGCUACCUUGAAAGACUGUAGACUUGCCAGGCAUGGUGACACACACCCUUAAUACUAGCAAGUGGGCGGCAGAGGCAGGUGGAUCUCUGUGUGUAAGGCUAGAUUGGUUUACAGAGCAAGGUCCAGGGCAACCAGGACUAAACAGAAGCCAUGUCUCAAAAGAACAAAAGGAGAAAAAGGAGAAAGAAAGGAAGAAAGAAAGAAAGAAAGAAAGAAAGAAAGAAAGAAAGAAAGAAAGAAAGAAAGAAAGAAAGGAAGAGAGAGAGAAAGAGAGAAAGAAAGGUAGAAAGACAGGCAUAUUCAGUAAUGGGAAGUUGAGCCCUGAGGCCUGAGGCCCCAGCCUGCCCUGGACAGCGGGAGGGUACAGUAGACAAUUUUGUUCUUUGCUUACAAAAGGCCACGCAGCAAGCCUUGGAGACCUCAAGAAAUGGUGAAGAGUCAUUCAAGUGCAGAGAGCAGGAAAUGAGAGUCGGGUUUGCCUCAGAGAAAAAGAACUCUGGUUUCAGUGUGCAGAAUGCAUCCAGAGGCAGGCCCCAGCAAGGGGGAAGCAACCAUGGAACUUACCAGACAGACUGCACUGCCAUGACUUGGUGGUGAGGAAGUGUGUGAAGAGGCUGAGAGGGAGAAACCACAUUAUCCUGGGCUUCUGCCUCAGCUAAAAUGGAAGCAAUGGGAGAGGUCUGUGUUGGGGGCUAGAGAGAGAUCUUGAGGGGCCUAGACAACAUCUGAACGGGAUGUCACUCAUUCCUUCAGCUGAGGGUAACUAAGGAAACAGAUGAGUGUUGGAUGAAACAGGGUGGAAUGUGUAGAGAUCCUUCUGACCGAACUGGGUGAGAGAUGAGUCAGGUCCAUCCCUGUCUCUUCAUAGCCAUCAUGGACUUAACACCCCACUGGUCCCCGCGAGAGGCAAAAUUUCUUCCAGCCACUCACCACAGACUUUCCCACUGCCCCCCUCGCCCCCUGAAUGUAUUGGGAGAGACACUGGUAGAAAAGGUGAAGAGGGGCCACAAGGAAGAGCUAGCCUUCUUCAGAGCCUGCAAAAGAAGUUCACCUUGCUAGAAAUACACUGGGCAGUGUUUAUGGAUGAGAUAGGCGAGCCAAGAUUUGCACAGGGGCUGGGAACUUUGGGGAGAAAGAAAUAAAACAGAACAGAACUAAGAAGCUUAUGAACAGGGCUGAGGUCUUAUUUGAUAAAAGAGUGGGGCACAGGGCGUUAGAGUAGGGGACUAUUUGCUUUGCUUCGCUUUGUUUUGUUUGAAACGUGGUCUUAUUGUAUAGUCCAGGUUGGUGUUUAGCUCAUGCUCUCCUAAGUGUUGAAUUAUAUUUAUGACACCACAGUUAGCUAGGAGACUGGUUUCAGGAAUGAGCCUUAGAAGGGGCUUUUGAAGUGACUGGGUCCAUUAGACUUUGAGAGCAGGACAGGUUAAUAUCUAAUUAAAAAAAGAAG